CGUGCAAGUCGGCUUGUCGCCUCAGUUCGAUUUUAUCGGAUUGGGGAGGAAAGUCCGGGCAACAAAGAGCGCCAUACUUCCUAACGGGAAGGGUAUUUACCGGUGACGGAAAAUAUACAGACAGUGCCACAGAAAAUAAACCACCGUAGGCUUGUCUUACGGAAAGGGUGAAAAGGUGGGGUAAGAGCCCACCGCCCCGACAGUGAUGAAGGGGGCACGGCAAACCUUAUGGGUUGAAAGAUCAAAUAGGCCCCGGGCAAAGAGCUGCUCGUUCGAUUUUCGCUUCGGCGAAAUUCCGGGGUGGGUAGAUCGAUAGAGUUCUGGUGUGAAUCAGAAUCGAGAUAAAUGGCAAGCCUUUCCUGAAUUUCAGGAAAGACAGAACCCGGCUUAUAGACUUGCACUUUUU
Molecule: RNase P RNA, 406 nt
Filed under: Algoriphagus boseongensis
Lineage: Bacteria; Pseudomonadati; Bacteroidota; Cytophagia; Cytophagales; Cyclobacteriaceae
Description: Bacterial RNase P class A
Rfam family: Bacterial RNase P class A
About the family: Ribonuclease P (RNase P) is a ubiquitous endoribonuclease, found in archaea, bacteria and eukarya as well as chloroplasts and mitochondria.
Source: RNAcentral